UUAACUACCUGACAAGGGAUCAUGGAAGUGGUUUUCCCAGGGCAAGCCUUAUCCAUUGCACUUCAGAUGUGCUGACCCCUGCAGUUUCCCCAAAUGUGGGAAACUCGACUACAUAAUUUGUGGUAGUAGGGGACUGCGUUCAUGCUCUCCCCUA
This is a small nuclear RNA of Chlorocebus sabaeus (green monkey), 154 nucleotides long. Its record names the gene U1. It matches the Rfam family "U1 spliceosomal RNA". From Rfam's summary of the family: U1 is a small nuclear RNA (snRNA) component of the spliceosome (involved in pre-mRNA splicing). Its 5' end forms complementary base pairs with the 5' splice junction, thus defining the 5' donor site of an intron. The record is from Ensembl. Lineage: Eukaryota; Metazoa; Chordata; Mammalia; Primates; Cercopithecidae.